This 892-nucleotide long non-coding RNA is filed under the name Mus caroli (Ryukyu mouse). RNAcentral describes it as "lncRNA (MGP_CAROLIEiJ_G0006661.1)". Lineage: Eukaryota; Metazoa; Chordata; Mammalia; Rodentia; Muridae. The record is from RNAcentral.
AAUGAUUUGUUUUUAUUUCAUCGGUGUUUUGCCUGCAUGUACAUUUGUGUGAGGGUGUCAGAUCCCCUCAGACUGAAGCUGCAGACACUUGUGAACACCCAUGGAGAUACUAAGAACUGAAGAGCAGCUAGUACUCUUAACUGCUGAGCCAUCUCUCCAGCCCCCAGAAGAGAUUUCUUAACAUACAGCAAUGAGCCUGUUUAAACAGCGUGAUGGCCCAGUCUAUACAUAUUUUAGGCCUAUGGGAUAGAUGAGGUGUGUCGGUUUCUAUACAGGGAACAGUCUAGGCACCAAACACAUCUGGAGGUGAUCUGAGGCAGAUUCCUGCAAAGGAUACGACAGCCCACUUCAAAUACGUUGUUGGUGCCAAUAAUCAUAGGUUUGGGCUCUGUAUCUUCAGUGUCUGGGAUGAUGUUAUCUGGAUGACUAUAAAGAGAAGAGACGAGAAUCACCAAAGGCCAGCGACACGGUAAGCAGCUGCCAUCCCCUUUCAGAAUCUGAUGUCUGAGUUCUACAAAGUGAGUUCCAGGACAGCCAGGGCUACAGAGAGAUCCUGUCUCAGAGAGAGAGAGAGAACUGGGAUGGGGAAUCUAUCAGACCUUCUGGAGUUGAAGCCACUGGUAGGUGCAAGCUGCCCUGUGUGAGUGAAGAGACAGGAACUCAAGGACUCCACAAGAACAGCAAGAGGUGCUAACUGCCGAGCUAUUUCUCUAGCCUUCCCUUAUUUCUUAAAUUCUAACUUCAGAGGACAUUUCCCAGUGUAGGGGAAUGCCAGGGCAGGAAGGCAGGAGUGGGUGGGUGGGGGAGCACCCUUAUAGAGACAGGGGAAGGGGGGGAUGGAAGAGGGGGUUUCUGGAGGGGAGACCUGGAGAGGGGAUCACAUUUGAAAUGU